This 64-nucleotide transfer RNA is filed under the name Megalophasma granulatum. Its description in RNAcentral is "tRNA-Tyr". Lineage: Eukaryota; Metazoa; Arthropoda; Insecta; Phasmatodea; Lonchodidae. The record is from RNAcentral.
AGUGAGGUGGCUGAGAUUACAGGCGUUAAAUUGUAAAUUUAUUAACAGGAUAUCCUUCUUACUG